AUAGCUUUCACAGAUUGGCUUAUCUAUUGGUCCAUGAAAAGGUCCUUUAGCCCUGCCCACUCCUGGAGUUGUAGUGCAUCAUCCACCUGUCUGUCUGAGAAUCGUAUAAAAUAUAAAACCUUAAAAAGCACAGUAUCGUUCCACUGAACACAGCCGGAGUCACGACUGUCACCCUGCCGCUACUGCCACUCGCUGAUCUCACAUCGUUAAACAGUUCUUUACUGCUGAGUUCAGAUCGGUCUCUUCGUUAGAAUUCAUUUUACUAAGACCAAAGACAGCGACAAAGUGAGUGUGAGUGUGUUUGUGUGUGUGUGAGUCCGUGUGAGAAAUCUGUGAUGAAAGUCUCAGAGUGUGAGCGCUGCUACGACGCUCGUCUAAAAUCCACCAAAAGGACGACGGCAAACUCGCGGCACAGCUACAGAUACAGUAGCGGCGACGGAGAAGCGUGAAGGAACAGAUAAAAUCUCAUUCCCUCGAGAUCACUGUGAAGAACUUGUGUGUGUGUGUGUGUGUGUGUGUGUGUAUGUUUUACGCGAAGCUGUUUUCUGCUGGAGCUGAUUUCCGGAUCACGCUGAUUGAUGACGUGAGCAGAACGUAGUUGUGUUCUUUAAUCGCAGGUCUAUCGUCAGAGGAUCUUCAGCGAGAACACGCGCUGUCACACAGACUUACACAAUUCACACCAGUUUACUGUACAGGAUCUCACAGCGUGACGAGGAAACAUCUUAAAUAAUCACGUGACCCGCCCUGAGUAGCGCGUGAAUGAUGGUUAUUACAGGAGUUCAUUAUUAAUGACUGUUUAAAUCCGUGUUUGUAAACAUUAAACCUCGCGCACCAUCCUCCGACCGACCCUGUGUGUGUGUGUGUGUGUGUGUGUGUGUGUGUGUGUGUGUGUGUGUGUGUGUGUGGGGGGCUCGCGCGUGCUGCUCUCAUGCGGACAGAACACGCAUGCGGCAGUCGGAGCGCGCGCGUCUCUGCAGUGCCGCCGUAAUUUCACGUCACAUCAAGUUUAAUAAGCGCUGUUCUCUCCGCGCGCGAGCCGCACCGGGGGCUCCGUCCGGUACCGGGACUGUUGCUUCCUCUCUCUCUCACUUUAUCUUCCUCGGUUUUAUUUUUCUCUCCAGCAGAGGGAUCGGAGGAAAGCAGCCUGUCUCUCUCUCCGGCACGCGCUCAGCGCCUCUCCGCGUCCGCGUGCACAUCUGGAGUCCGGCUCGCGCUGCUGUGCUCCGGGCAGCGUGUUCAUGCAGCGGCCGUGUGUGUGAGGCGCGCGCGCUGAGAGGAGAGAGGGAGAGAGGGAGAGAGAGAAGAGGAGGAGAGGAGAAUGAGGAGGUUUAUAGAAGGUCGGGGAGAGAAAAUGGGGCAGCGCGUGCUCGCUUUUCUCCUGUUAUUACCGUGGCUGGUGUACGACUCGCGCGCAGGAUUUCCCAACCAGAUCAGCAUCGGUGGUGUGUUUCUGCGCUCCACCGUUCAGGAGCACAGUGUGUUCCGGUUUGCUGUUCAGCUCUAUAACACCAACCAGAAUGUGACGGAGAAACCGUUUCACCUGCACUACAAUGUGGACAACCUGGAGCAGAGCGACAGCUUCUCCGUCACACACGCCUUUUGUUCUCAGUUCUCACGGGGUGUGUAUGCCAUAUUCGGUUUUUAUGAUCAACGCUCGGUGAACACACUCUUGUCAUUUUCUGGGGCUCUGCACACCUCCUUCAUCACUCCAUCACAGCCCGCUGAGGCCGACACACAUUUCCUGCUCCAGCUGAGACCCGCCCUUAAAGGGGUGGUGCUUAGCAUGAUCAUACACUACAAAUGGGACAGGUUUGUCUACCUGUAUGACACAGAUAGAGGGUUCUCUCUGCUGCAGUCAGUAAUGGAAGCUGCAGUAGUGAAUGAUUGGCGGGUGACGGUCCGCUCCGUCGGGAACGUUGCUGAUGUUCUGGAAUAUCGGCGGAUAAUUGAGGAAAUGGAACGUCGUCAGGAGAAACUCUUCGUCAUCGACUGUGAAGAGGAGCGCAUCAACGCUGUGCUGGAGCAGGUUGUGGCCUCGGGGAAAAACAGUCGAGGAUAUCACUACAUCCUGGCUAAUCUGGGUUUCUCCAAUGCAAGUAUAGAGAAGGUUUUCUCCGGCGGUGCGAACGUCACUGCGUUUCACAUCAUCAACCCACAAAACCCCAUCGUACAGCAGUUCCUCCAGCGCUGGGACAAACUGGACGAGAGAGAGUUCCCUCAGGCUCGGGACACACCGCUCAGAUACACCUCUGCACUGACCCACGAUGCCGUGUUGGUGAUAUCAGAGGCGUUUCGGUAUUUGCGUCGUCAGCGUGUGGAUGUUUCUCGCCGUGGCAGCGCCGGAGACUGUUUAGCAAAUCCAGCUGUUCCCUGGAGUCAGGGCAUCGACAUCGAGAGAGCACUGAAGAUGGUCCAGGUUCAGGGAAUGACAGGAAAUGUCCAGUUCGAUUCUUUCGGUCGCCGUACGAACUUCACCAUCGAUGUUUACGAGAUGAAACCUGGUGGAGCGAGAAAGAUCGGUUACUGGAGUGAAUUUGAGAAGUUUGUUUACGUAACAGAGCUGCAGGUGACGAAUGAAACGUCUUCAGUGGAAAACCGUACGAUUGUCGUCACCACCAUCAUGGAAGCUCCGUAUGUGAUGUAUAAGAGAAAUUACAUGCAGCUGGAGGGAAACGAUCGAUACGAAGGCUACUGCGUGGACUUAGCCUCCGAAAUCGCCAAACAUGUCGGAAUUAAGUACAAAUUGUCCAUCGUAGCUGACGGGAAAUACGGAGCACGAGAUCCUGAGACUAAAACCUGGAACGGGAUGGUGGGAGAGCUGGUGUACGGGAGGGCGGAUAUCGCCGUGGCUCCUCUGACCAUCACGCUGGUGCGCGAGGAGGUGAUCGACUUCUCCAAACCCUUCAUGAGUCUCGGAAUCUCCAUCAUGAUAAAGAAGCCGCAGAAGUCGAAGCCUGGUGUGUUCUCGUUCCUCGACCCGCUGGCGUACGAGAUCUGGAUGUGCAUCGUGUUCGCUUACAUCGGCGUGAGCGUCGUGCUCUUCCUCGUCAGCCGAUUCAGUCCGUACGAGUGGAACAUCAGCAACGGCGACGAGGCGAAGGAUCCGCAGGCUCCGCCCGAUCCGCCCAACGACUUCGGCAUUUUUAACAGUCUGUGGUUUUCCCUCGGAGCCUUCAUGCAGCAAGGAUGCGAUAUCUCGCCAAGGUCUCUGUCAGGUCGUAUAGUGGGAGGAGUGUGGUGGUUCUUCACGUUGAUCAUCAUCUCGUCCUACACGGCUAACCUGGCGGCAUUCCUCACCGUGGAGCGGAUGGUGUCUCCCAUCGAGAGCGCUGAAGAUCUGGCCAAGCAGACGGAGAUCGCGUACGGAACGCUGGACUCCGGUUCCACUAAAGAGUUCUUCAGACGCUCUAAGAUAGCGGUGUUUGAGAAGAUGUGGUCGUACAUGAAGUCGGCCGAGCCGUCGGUGUUUGUGAAGACGACUCCGGAUGGCGUGGCUCGCGUCAGGAAGUCGAAGGGGAAGUUUGCGUUUCUGCUCGAGUCCACGAUGAACGAGUACAUCGAACAACGCAAACCGUGUGACACCAUGAAGGUCGGCGGAAACCUCGACUCCAAGGGCUACGGAGUCGCCACGCCCAAGGGCUCGGCAUUAAGAAGUGCUGUGAACCUGGCUGUGUUAAAGCUGAACGAGCAGGGCCUGCUGGACAAGCUGAAAAACAAGUGGUGGUACGACAAGGGGGAGUGUGGCAGCGGGGGAGGGGACUCCAAGGUCAGCCAACAAACAAACAAACAAACAAACAAACAAAUUAACAAGGCUGGAGAGAGUAAUCGGCAAGGCUGUGACCUCUGACCCCAGCAACAGUAACCAUGCUAGCAGGCGACAAUAACAGCCUGUUGUUGUUGUUGUUGUUAUUAUUAUUAUUAUUGAGUAGAUAGAGAUCACAGUGAACCCUUUAAUUAGCAAGGAUAGAGAGCAGUGAUUAGCGUGUAGCGUGUAGCAUGUAGCGUGUGCUUGGCAUGUAGUUAGCGUGUUGCCGUGUAGUUGUGAAAGGUGGUGUAAGAGUUUUUCAGCUGCUUUUUAUGUCUCCAUGGCAACAAGGGGAAGUUUAUUAUUAAUUAUUUCAGAAUGAUUGAUUUAAUAUUAAUGUGUGUGUGCUGAAGCUGCCACUCAAUGCUGUCCACUAUUGGUGUGAAAGGUCAAAGGUCAGGGGUGAAGGUCAGGGACAGCAGGGCGAACAGUGAAGUCUUGAGAGGACGAAGCAUCACAGGCACCCGUGAGAAGUCUAAUGAAGAAUUUCCCACAAUCCCUCACUCAGUCACAUGACAUUGAGGUUCAUUUCUGAUUCUUACGCGUCCUCAUCGACUUCCCCCACUGAGCCUGGAGGUGUGUCUGUGUGUGUGUGUGUGUGUGUGUGUGUGCGUGUGUGUGUGUGUGUGUGUGUGUGUGUGCGUGUGUGUGUGUGCGCGUGUGUGCGUGUGUGUGCGUGUGUGUGUGUCCUACAAAAAUGUCCCAAUUGCCAGAGUUUCUGUGUAGUUAGUAAAAUGUCGACUAAAACGUCGCAAAAAACUUUUAGGACACAGCCAUUGAGGCACUCGCUCCUGUUUUACACGUCAGCUGCCAUUUUGAAAAGUGCAGCAGUGCAUUCUGGGUAAGUGGAACCCUACAGCAGGGCUGUCAACUAACAAACCUGACUCGAGCUGUACAGUAGUGAUCAAGGGGAAGUGGACGAGGGCGCAUUAAAGCCAGGAAUGAAACAUAGGAAACUAUUACAACACACACGCACACACACACACACACGCACACACACACACACACGCACACACACACACACGCCCUGCACUCAGCCACUCUCGUGCAGUGAUGCAGCCUGUGUCUCGUCUCUGAUUGGCUCUCAUGAUUCCACUCGUCUUUGAUUGGUUCUCUGAAUCCCCAAAUCCAGUGGAGAAUCCAAUAUGGCUGCCGGAUCUGUGCGAAGAGCAGCUGAGCAUGCUGGGUAAGAGGGUAUGUAGUCCGUUAUGACAUCAGGACUGCAUGUUUCUCAUUUAUUGACCUGCCUGUAGCCCUGCAAUGCAUGAUGGGAGUAAUUCAACUACAUACAGCAAAUAUACUGCAUGGAAUAAAAAAAAACAAACAUCAGAGAAAUGUGUAAAAGAUGAAACACAAUUCUAAUGUUAACGUUAACGCAGAGAGAAAAUGACACACAAUAAAUCGCAGCUCUCCUACAGCGCCUCCUGUUUCACCUGAAAAUGUUUUGAAGCAUCGUACGGGUAAGAAACUAAAUACUGUUCGUUCUUUCAGCUGUUGCUAUGGAAACUAAUAACAUGUUAUGUGUUGCCUAAACAGGUUGUUUGAUUUGCAGUGACUUUGAAGCUACAGUGUGUUUGUUAGAGUUGUGAUUUAAAGCAGCGGUGUGUAUCUGUAACUUUGGGUGUUUUUGGAGACCCCUGUGGCAGAAAUGUGUUACUGCGACUCCUCAUUCUUCUCCUCAGUGUUACAGAAAAGUCACAUUUAAAACUUUAUUACGUACGUUAACGUGACACAAACCCAGCACUGAGUGACACAUUCAUCCUUUAGAGAAACUGUGAGAAAAGCAGCUAGCUGUAGUCAUGAUGAAAGUUUUUGACACAUUCUCAUGCUAAAGAAGAAGUUAUUCAGUUAUACGUCACAAUAUUAAACACGUGACGUGAAAUAAUCGUCACCUUCCUCAUGUUGUAUUUUGUUAAAGCUGAGUGUGGUGUAUUUGCUGUUGUUGAAUUACAAACCGUCGUCAUUUAACAGAAAGGAAAUAAACUGAGUCACUCAGCAGCCCUGUUUAUGACAUAAUCAACGUCUUACCAACUAAACACACCCUACAGAAACAUCGCAUCAUCACCCCGCGACAGGAAGUGCCUGCAAAACCGCAAGUGGAGAUUUAGCGGCAAGGUUGCUAAUCAUGAGGCGCAGACAGACUUAGCGCACUUUCACAUACGAAACCAUGUAAUGACAAAUUACAAAAUUUUCCAUUUUAACUAAAGUUUCUGUUGUUUUUAAAAUAUUCAGAAUCAGCAUUACUGUAUUUUCACUGCAGAGUUGCAUUUAUAGCAUUUAGCUUCCUCAGUUAGCAUGUGUUUUUAAGUGUGUCACUUUUGUGAUUUAGCAUUUAGCUCUUGAGUCUUUGUUGUUAGCAUUACAGUUGUUAACAUUUAUCCUGUGCUGGUUGUCUUUGCAUUUAUCCUUCAUCCUUCAACUUUUGUAGUUUAUUUCUUGCAUUUAUCCUUUGUGGUUAAUGUUUAGCAGAUUUUGUUAGCGUUUAGCCUUUGCGGUUAGCGCUUCUGCUUGAAGAUAAUGGUUUCGUCUGUGAAAGUGUCUCUAAAUUCACUGAUCUCACUCAUUGUGUAAGUUUAUUUAUUAGGGGUCCAAGCACCAAAAGGUCUGAUUUACCUGGCCUUGGCCGUGCACAACUUCCUGUUUUGGUGGAAUUAACGAUGUUGUUUUAUUUUAACUCCAUUUGCAUCUCCAACACUGUCGCUUUACACCGAACCCACUGCGCGGCUCAGUAUUGGUGCUUGGCCCCAGACAUCGCUGUGUGGAGUUAUAUGUCUUGUGAAGUUUGUGUUGUGUUUCUGCCUGUAGGGUGUGUUUGAGUUUGUAACGCGUCCGGCCAGAACCCUCUCCUUCACUGAAUGUUGGUUCCUGUCAGCUAAUAAAGGGUUCUAGAUCCAGAGGUUCUCAUGAAAACGCUGCACUUUGUCCUGUAAUAAUAAUAACAACGACAAUCAGUGAUGUUUAUCUCUCCAGUUCUCUCAGUGUGUCUCCGCUGGAACAGUGAGUGCCGAUUACUCAAAGCCUUUACAGUAGGUCCUGGUACUGUAGGUCAAAGGUCAAAGGUAAUGCCAAUGCUAGCCCUGCUUGCUUGCCAACAUCCUGCUACUCUUUCUUUUUUCUUGCUCCUGAUAUUUAUGCUUUGAGAUAGUGCUUUGAGAUAUGAUAGUGCACUAUGUAGAGAACAGUUCAGAAAAAUAAUCUGUGUAUUUAAAACCUUUAUUAUCGUCUCACUUGUCCUCAGUCGGGUCAGUGCCGGGUCAGUGCCGGGUCAGUGCCGGGUCAGUGCCGGGUCAGUGCCGGGUCAGUGCACGCAACAUCACCACUACAUUCGGCUUUAAUUAAACAAUUUAGUAGUUUAGCAACAUUAGCUAAUCUAGUCAGCUAUUUAAAUGUAGCUCUGAGCUAAUGUAAAGAAGCUAAUUAGUUAGCUAAAGCUAACGUUAAUGUUGUUUCUCCAGUUUUUCUAGAAAAGUAGCUGAUGUUAGGAAAAUAAUUUUUUGCUAACUUUUAAAUAAACGGUUGUGGUGAUGUCAUGAUCAUGCAUGUGAUUGGCCGAUCAAAUCUAAUUUAAGCUCCUGGACCUGCCGCAGUUCACUGUUUGGAUGAUGUUUGUUGCAAUGCAUUGUGGGAAUCCAGAGGUUUACCAGAUGUUCUUCACAAAGGUCUAAACAAAAUGUUCCCAAAUAGUGCACUAUAUUGUUCAGAGGGUCAAAGGUCACGGUAACACCAGUCUGCUUGCUGCCUCUUGUUCUCUCUCUCUCUCUCUCUCUCUCUCUCUCGCUGGAUGAAUGGAGAGCGGGAGGUUCGUUCAGUGUCACUUUACAGGUUUAAGGAGAUGUUGAGUGUGGGUGUGAUGAAUUAACGGGCCACUGCUCUGGUGUUAUUUAUGUUAUUUCCCUCGUGAAGAACUCCUGUAAACCUUGCAGUAUUGAAACUCAGUGAACAAGGCAUCUUAGACAAGCUGAAAAACAAGUGGUGGUACGAUAAAGGGGAGUGUGGGACCAAGGACUCGGGCAGUAAGGAUAAGACGAGUGCGCUGAG
Molecule: RNA transcript, 7843 nt
Organism: Pangasianodon hypophthalmus (striped catfish)
Lineage: Eukaryota; Metazoa; Chordata; Actinopteri; Siluriformes; Pangasiidae
Gene: gria3a
Gene name: glutamate receptor, ionotropic, AMPA 3a
Exons: 15
Source: RefSeq, a predicted model, not a curated record